RNAcentral lists this ribosomal RNA (876 nucleotides) under uncultured Leotiomyceta. Its description in RNAcentral is "eukaryotic LSU rRNA". The stretch from base 507 to 660 matches the Rfam family "5.8S ribosomal RNA". The record is from RNAcentral. Lineage: Eukaryota; Fungi; Ascomycota.
CUUGGUCAUUUAGAGGAAGUAAAAGUCGUAACAAGGUUUCCGUAGCCUAUUGAAGCCUGACACGGCGACUUGAAAAACAAUCGUGGAGUCUACAUUGAACAAGAUUCAAGUGGGCGAUGCCAAAGAAGUGCUGGGAAUCUUUAACAGGAACGCCAGCAGCCAUCCGGGCCUGUUCAUCCGGGCUGAUGGUUCACAGAUCAAGUAGUGGCAGUCAUGAGCCGAGUAGUCACCGAACUGCUUAAACUUGUGAUGAAGAUAUGACCGGUCAGUGGCUGAACAAGCCAGCUGAGAAACGUUCCGUAGGUGAACCUGCGGAAGGAUCAUUAAAGAGUAAGGGUCUCCGGGCCCGAUCUCCAACCCUUUGUUUAAUCACCAUGUUGCUUUGGCGGGCCCGUCUCACGACCGCCGGAAGUUUGGUCUCAACCAGACUUCUGGCCCGUGCCCGUCAGUGGCCCCUUCAAAUUCUUGAUUAAAUAUGAUGUCUUAGUUAUAAACUUAAUAGUUAAAACUUUCAACAACGGAUCUCUUGGUUCUGGCAUCGAUGAAGAACGCAGCGAAAUGCGAUAAGUAAUGCGAAUUGCAGAAUUCAGUGAGUCAUCGAAUCUUUGAACGCACAUUGCGCCCUUUGGUAUUCCGAAGGGCAUGCCUGUUCGAGCGUCAUUAUCAACCCUCAAGCCUGGCUUGCUGUUGGACCUCUCGUCGUUAAAGACGGGUCCUAAAGUUAAUGGCGGAGUCAUCGGACCCCAGAUGCAACGAGCUCUCGUAGCACGCAUUUAAGGGGCUGGCGGCUCUAGUCUCAACCCACAUCAUUUACAAGGUUGACCUCGGAUCAGGUAGGAAUACCCGCUGAACUUAAGCAUAUCAAUAAGCGGAGGA